UAGCAAUACUUGAUGACGAGUGGCGCACGGGUGCGUAACGCGUAUGCAAUCUACCUUCAACUGAGGAACAGCUCGGAGAAAUCCGGAUUAAUACCUCAUAAUAUUCGAGAGUGGCAUCACUUUCCAAUUAAAGCUCAGGCGGUUGAAGAUGAGCAUGCGUAACAUUAGUUUGUUGGUGAGGUAACGGCUCACCAAGACUACGAUGUUUAGGGGAUCUGAGAGGAUUAACCCCCACACUGGUACUGAGACACGGACCAGACUCCUACGGGAGGCAGCAGUAAGGAAUAUUGGACAAUGGGCGCAAGCCUGAUCCAGCCAUGCCGCGUGCAGGAUGACGGCCCUAUGGGUUGUAAACUGCUUUUAUACGGGAAUAAACCCCUCUACGUGUAGAGGGCUGAAGGUACCGUAAGAAUAAGGAUCGGCUAACUCCGUGCCAGCAGCCGCGGUAAUACGGAGGAUCCGAGCGUUAUCCGGAUUUAUUGGGUUUAAAGGGUGCGUAGGCGGGUUUGUAAGUCAGUGGUGAAAUCCUGCAGCUUAACUGUAGAACUGCCAUUGAUACUGCAAGCCUUGAGUACAUAUGAUGUGGGCGGAAUGUGUAGUGUAGCGGUGAAAUGCUUAGAUAUUACACAGAACACCGAUUGCGAAGGCAGCUCACAAAACUGUAACUGACGCUGAGGCACGAAAGCGUGGGGAGUGAACA
RNAcentral lists this ribosomal RNA (700 nucleotides) under uncultured Bacteroidota bacterium. Its description in RNAcentral is "bacterial SSU rRNA". It matches the Rfam family "Bacterial small subunit ribosomal RNA", at positions 77 to 774 of the family's 1533-position model. The record is from RNAcentral. Lineage: Bacteria; Pseudomonadati; Bacteroidota.